GUGGUGACACGGAAUCCGAAGGAAGCGAGCGGCAAACUUAGGGUCUCUCGGAACACGAACUUCAUAGAAGGCUAGGUAACAUUGGAUGAGUCUGCAAAACAAGAUAAAGUCCAUACUGCCGAAGAUGUUACAGAGUAAAUGGAGCAGAUAGAUGGAGAGAAAGAC
This 165-nucleotide non-coding RNA is filed under the name Bacillus smithii. Lineage: Bacteria; Bacillati; Bacillota; Bacilli; Caryophanales; Bacillaceae. The record is from RNAcentral.